Molecule: transfer RNA, 53 nt
Filed under: Crossodactylodes sp. 3 MTS-2020
Lineage: Eukaryota; Metazoa; Chordata; Amphibia; Anura; Leptodactylidae
Description: partial tRNA-Val
Source: RNAcentral
CAAAGCAUCUCGCUUACACCGAGAGUACACCCGUGAGAAUCUGGUUAUUUCGA